RNAcentral lists this ribosomal RNA (612 nucleotides) under Enterobacter cloacae. Its description in RNAcentral is "bacterial SSU rRNA". It matches the Rfam family "Bacterial small subunit ribosomal RNA", at positions 556 to 1168 of the family's 1533-position model. The record is from RNAcentral. Lineage: Bacteria; Pseudomonadati; Pseudomonadota; Gammaproteobacteria; Enterobacterales; Enterobacteriaceae.
GGGCGUAAAGCGCACGCAGGCGGUCUGUCAAGUCGGAUGUGAAAUCCCCGGGCUCAACCUGGGAACUGCAUUCGAAACUGGCAGGCUAGAGUCUUGUAGAGGGGGGUAGAAUUCCACGUGUAGCGGUGAAAUGCGUAGAGAUCUGGAGGAAUACCGGUGGCGAAGGCGGCCCCCUGGACAAAGACUGACGCUCAGGUGCGAAAGCGUGGGGAGCAAACAGGAUUAGAUACCCUGGUAGUCCACGCCGUAAACGAUGUCGACUUGGAGGUUGUGCCCUUGAGGCGUGGCUUCCGGAGCUAACGCGUUAAGUCGACCGCCUGGGGAGUACGGCCGCAAGGUUAAAACUCAAAUGAAUUGACGGGGGCCCGCACAAGCGGUGGAGCAUGUGGUUUAAUUCGAUGCAACGCGAAGAACCUUACCUACUCUUGACAUCCAGAGAACUUAGCAGAGAUGCUUUGGUGCCUUCGGGAACUCUGAGACAGGUGCUGCAUGGCUGUCGUCAGCUCGUGUUGUGAAAUGUUGGGUUAAGUCCCGCAACGAGCGCAACCCUUAUCCUUUGUUGCCAGCGGUUAUGCCGGGAACUCACAGGAGACUGCCAGUGAUAAACUGGAG